AGUGAACGCUGGCGGUAGGCCUAACACAUGCAAGUCGAACGGCAGCACAGUAAGAGCUUGCUCUUACGGGUGGCGAGUGGCGGACGGGUGAGGAAUACAUCGGAAUCUACUUUUUCGUGGGGGAUAACGUAGGGAAACUUACGCUAAUACCGCAUACGACCUACGGGUGAAAGCAGGGGAUCUUCGGACCUUGCGCGAUUGAAUGAGCCGAUGUCGGAUUAGCUAGUUGGCGGGGUAAAGGCCCACCAAGGCGACGAUCCGUAGCUGGUCUGAGAGGAUGAUCAGCCACACUGGAACUGAGACACGGUCCAGACUCCGACGGGAGGCAGCAGGGGGGAAUAUUGGACAAUGGGCGCAAGCCUGAUCCAGCCAUACCGCGGGGGUGAAGAAGGCCUUCGGGUUGUAAAGCCCUUUUGUUGGGAAAGAAAAGCAGCAGGUUAAUACCCCGCUGUUCUGACGGUACCCAAAGAAUAAGCACCGGCGAACUUCGU
Molecule: ribosomal RNA, 491 nt
Filed under: uncultured bacterium
Lineage: Bacteria
Description: partial 16S ribosomal RNA
Rfam family: Bacterial small subunit ribosomal RNA
Source: RNAcentral